GACGAACGCUGGCGGCGUGCUUAACACAUGCCAGUCGAACGGAAAGGCCCUGCGUUUGUUGGGUGCUCGAGUGGCGAACGGGUGAGUAACACGUGAGUAACCUGCCCUUGACUUUGUGAUAACUUCAGGAAACUGGGGCUAAUACCGGAUAGGAGCUCCUGCUGCAUGGUGGGGGUUGGAAAGUUUCGGCGGUUGGGGAUGGACUCGCGGCUUAUCAGCUUGUUGGUGGGGUAGUGGCUUACCAAGGCUUUGACGGGUAGCCGGCCUGAGAGGGUGACCGGCCACAUUGGGACUGAGAUACGGACCAGAAGCCUACGGGAGGCAGCAGUGGGGAAUAUUGCACAAUGGGCGGAAGCCUGAUGCAGCAACGCCGCGUGCGGGAUGACGGCCUUCGGGUUGUAAACCGCUUUCGCCUGUGACGAAGCGUGAGUGACGGUAAUGGGUAAAGAAGCACCGGCUAACUACAUG
Molecule: ribosomal RNA, 468 nt
Filed under: uncultured bacterium
Lineage: Bacteria
Description: partial 16S ribosomal RNA
Rfam family: Bacterial small subunit ribosomal RNA
Source: RNAcentral